UACGAAGGGGGCUAGCGUUGCUCGGAUUGACUGGGCGUAAAGGGCGCGUAGGCGGUUCGUACAGUCAGACGUGAAAUUCCUGGGCUCAACCUGGGGGCUGCGUUUGAUACGUGCGGACUUGAGUGCGGAAGAGGGUCGUGGAAUUCCCAGUGUAGAGGUGAAAUUCGUAGAUAUUCGGAAGAACACCAGUGGCGAAGGCGACUUACUGGACACAUAUUGACGCUGAGGUGCGAAAUCGUGGGGAGCAAACAGG
Molecule: ribosomal RNA, 253 nt
Filed under: uncultured bacterium
Lineage: Bacteria
Description: partial 16S ribosomal RNA
Rfam family: Bacterial small subunit ribosomal RNA
Source: RNAcentral